Molecule: non-coding RNA, 117 nt
Organism: Strigamia maritima
Lineage: Eukaryota; Metazoa; Arthropoda; Chilopoda; Geophilomorpha; Linotaeniidae
Source: Rfam
UAUCUCUGGCUUCUCGUCAAUAGGGCAAAUCUUUCGCCUUUUACUAAAGAUUUCCGUGGCGAGGAGUAGUUAAUGAGUCUAUAGACCAAUUUUUGAAAUCCUGUCUUCGGAUGGGAU